GAUGAACGCUGGCGGCGUGCCUAAUACAUGCAAGUCGAGCGAACAGACGAGGAGCUUGCUCCUCUGACGUUAGCGGCGGACGGGUGAGUAACACGUGGAUAACCUACCUAUAAGACUGGGAUAACUUCGGGAAACCGGAGCUAAUACCGGAUAAUAUAUUGAACCGCAUGGUUCAAUAGUGAAAAACGGUUUUGCUGUCACUUAUAGAUGGAUCCGCGCCGCAUUAGAUAGUUGGUAAGGUAACGGCUUACCAAGGCAACGAUGCGUAGCCGACCUGAGAGGGUGAUCGGCCACACUGGAACUGAGACACGGUCCAGACUCCUACGGGAGGCAGCAGUAGGGAAUCUUCCGCAAUGGGCGAAAGCCUGACGGAGCAACGCCGCGUGAGUGAUGAAGGUCUUCGGAUCGUAAAACUCUGUUAUUAGGGAAGAACAAAUGUGUAAGUAACUAUGCACGUCUUGACGGUACCUAAUCAGAAAGCCACGGCUAACUACGUG
This 497-nucleotide ribosomal RNA is filed under the name uncultured bacterium. Its description in RNAcentral is "partial 16S ribosomal RNA". It matches the Rfam family "Bacterial small subunit ribosomal RNA", at positions 28 to 507 of the family's 1533-position model. The record is from RNAcentral.